AGCGAUAAAAUUUUCACUUACAAUGAAAAGUACCUGGUAGGCGCUUUUUAACUUACGUUAUUGUUUAA
This 68-nucleotide transfer RNA is filed under the name Gammarus sinuolatus. Its description in RNAcentral is "tRNA-Val". The record is from RNAcentral. Lineage: Eukaryota; Metazoa; Arthropoda; Malacostraca; Amphipoda; Gammaridae.